UCACGUGUUCUCACUCAAUGUUGUCUUAUUUCAAACAACAAACCCAAUUAGAAUUUCAAGAAACAUCAUUGCCCUUCUUCAGUCUUCCAAAGACUUCUCUUUGAGUUCUAUUCAUUUUCUCACAUGGGUGCUGCAAUUUCAGGUCAGUUUUCCUCCCAAUUGUUUGCCAAUCUUCUUCAGGUUUUCUUCGAAUUUCCCAGUUUUAUUACUUAAAUUCAUGGUUGAUGUGGUUAUUAUUCUUCUAUCUUUCUUCCUUGAUCUUUUGUCAUUUUGUCUUUCCAUAUAUGGUCUCCGUUCGACAUUUUUUGUCUAUAUAGGAAAUGAAAGAUGGGAACUUUGAAUUAAAAAAUACAGAGAAGAAAUAAAAGGAGAAAGGUUUGUUAUGUAUAAAAUGGAGGGGAGUAGAUAACUCUAAAGAAACAUAUCAUAGUAGUAAUUUCAUUUGCCUUAGACUUCUUUCUGAAUUUUAAAAUGUCUCUUCAAAUUCAGUUAAGGAAUGGAUUGAUGAUAUAGAUAGGUAGCCUUAUUUCCUAUUUAAUUUGACUAUUUGGGGGUAAAACUUGAAGCUCUUCAAUGUAAAAAAUGGUGGUCUUUUUAUUAUGGUUUUGGAAGAUGAUUUUCUGGAUUCGCAAGUGCUGGAAUUCUGGAAAAUAGAACCAAAUAUAAGCUGAUAUAAAUAGUAAAGAUGUUAAGACCUUAUGCUUUUUCUUCUUUUUAUUUUUUCCCUAAUUGUUACCUCCUUACGGGUCUUUGACGCUUUUGAAAUAAAAUGGAUUUCUCAUAUUUUUCAACGGAUACUUAUGAUUUUUUUUUGGAGUGUUUAUUGCUUUUGAAAUAUCGCAAACUUCUUGAACUUUUCAAUAAAAUAUUAAUGGGUGUAUCUAUUCUUUUUCUUAUUCUUUGGACGGCUUCAUGUACCAUGUGGCUUCAUCAAUCGGCGGCAGCUCUUACGGCGUGACAAAUGCGUAAUGAAAGGGGUAUCUGCAUUAUUAGAUACUUUUCUGUCAGUUGCUGGAGUUGCAAUGAUAUGCUUGACUAUCUUUGUGAAAGCUGGAGUUGCAAAACCUAUUUGCUGAUGCCAGCUGUGCGUAGGAGUUCCCUCUAAAGUUGCAGUAUCCAUAUGGUGAGAUUUUCUUGGAAAAUAACUUUAGAUUUCAAAAGAAUAUCAAAUUUAUAGUCAAUAGGAUGUAUCAUUAUUUGGGUCCACUGUUCUAUUUAAAUAAUUUUCAAAUGCAACAUUUUCCAUAGACGUACUCCAUUUGUAAAGGUAAGAGACUCUCAUUAUGAUUUAUAAGAGUUAAUAUGUCCAGAAUCUCACAAGUAACAGUUAAUAAGUCCAGAGCCUCAUUUCGAAAAA
Nicotiana attenuata is the source of this 1357-nucleotide long non-coding RNA. RefSeq lists it as uncharacterized. The record is from RefSeq and is a predicted model, not a curated record. Lineage: Eukaryota; Viridiplantae; Streptophyta; Magnoliopsida; Solanales; Solanaceae. The transcript has 2 exons.